AGUGAACGCUGGCGGUAGGCCUAACACAUGCAAGUCGAACGGCAGCACAGUAAGAGCUUGCUCUUACGGGUGGCGAGUGGCGGACGAGUGAGGAAUACAUCGGAAUCUACUUUUUCGUGGGGGAUAACGUAGGGAAACUUACGCUAAUACCGCAUACGACCUACGGGUGAAAGCAGGGGAUCUUCGGACCUUGCGCGAUUGAAUGAGCCGAUGUCGGAUUAGCUAGUUGGCGGGGUAAAGGCCCACCAAGGCGACGAUCCGUAGCUGGUCUGAGAGGAUGAUCAGCCACACUGGAACUGAGACACGGUCCAGACUCCUACGGGAGGCAGCAGUGGGGAAUAUCGGACAAUGGGCGCAAGCCUGAUCCAGCCAUACCGCGUGGGUGAAGAAGGCCUUCGGGUUGUAAAGCCCUCUUGUUGGGAAAGAAAAGCAGCAGGUUAAUACCCCGCUGUUCUGACGGUACCCAAAGAAUAAGCACCGGCUAACUUCGUG
This 492-nucleotide ribosomal RNA is filed under the name uncultured bacterium. Its description in RNAcentral is "partial 16S ribosomal RNA". It matches the Rfam family "Bacterial small subunit ribosomal RNA", at positions 29 to 507 of the family's 1533-position model. The record is from RNAcentral.